AGUGAACGCUGGCGGUAGGCCUAACACAUGCAAGUCGAACGGCAGCACAGUAAGAGCUUGCUCUUACGGGUGGCGAGUGGCGGACGGGUGAGGAAUACAUCGGAAUCUACUUUUUCGUGGGGGAUAACGUAGGGAAACUUACUCUAAUACCGCAUACGACCUACCGGUGAAAGCAGUGGAUCUUCGGACCUUGCGCGAUUGAAUGAGCCGAUGUCGGAUUAGCUAGUUGGCGGGGUAAAGGCCCACCAAGGCGACGAUCCGUAGCUGGUCUGAGAGGAUGGUCAGCCACACUGGAACUGGGACACGGUCCAGACGCCUACGGGAGGCAGCAGUGGGGAAUAUUGGACAAUGGGCGCAAGCAUGGUCCAGCCAUACCGCGUGGGUGAAGAAGGCCUUCGGGUUGUAAAGCCCUUUUGUUGGGAAAGAAAAGCAGCAGGUUAAUACCCCGCUGUUCUGACGGUACCCAAAGAAUAAGCACCGGCUAACUUCGUG
This 492-nucleotide ribosomal RNA is filed under the name uncultured bacterium. RNAcentral's name for it is "partial 16S ribosomal RNA". It matches the Rfam family "Bacterial small subunit ribosomal RNA", at positions 29 to 507 of the family's 1533-position model. The record is from RNAcentral.